Molecule: ribosomal RNA, 328 nt
Filed under: uncultured eukaryote
Lineage: Eukaryota
Description: partial 18S ribosomal RNA
Rfam family: Eukaryotic small subunit ribosomal RNA
Source: RNAcentral
CCCUUAGACGUUCUGGGCCGCACGCGCGCUACACUGACGGAGCCAGCGAGUAUAAACCUUGGCCGAGAGGUCUGGGAAAUCUUGUGAAACUCCGUCGUGCUGGGGAUAGAGCAUUGUAAUUAUUGCUCUUCAACGAGGAAUUCCUAGUAAGCGCAAGUCAUCAGCUUGCGUUGAUUACGUCCCUGCCCUUUGUACACACCGCCCGUCGCUACUACCGAUUGAAUGGCUUAGUGAGGCUUCCGGAUUGGUUUAGAGAAGGGGGCGACUCCAUCUUGGAACCGAGAAGCUAGUCAAACUUGGUCAUUUAGAGGAAGUAAAAGUCGUAACA